RNAcentral lists this ribosomal RNA (339 nucleotides) under uncultured Pseudomonadota bacterium. RNAcentral's name for it is "bacterial SSU rRNA". It matches the Rfam family "Bacterial small subunit ribosomal RNA", at positions 29 to 351 of the family's 1533-position model. Lineage: Bacteria; Pseudomonadati; Pseudomonadota. The record is from RNAcentral.
AACUAACGCUGGCGGCGUGCCUAACACAUGCAAGUCGAACGAGAAAGUUGGCUUCGGCCGAUGAGUAAAGUGGCGCACGGGUGAGUAACGCGUGGAUAAUCUGCCCUUAAGUUCGGAAUAACGUACCGAAAGGUGCGCUAAUACCGGAUAAUACUGAGUGACUACUGUUGCUUAGUCAAAGAAGGCUUCUGUUUACAUGCUUUUGCUUUGGGAUGAGUCCGCGUACCAUUAGCUAGUUGGUAGGGUAAUGGCCUACCAAGGCUACGAUGGUUAGCUGGUCUGAGAGGAUGAUCAGCCACACUGGAACUGAGACACGGUCCAGACUCCUACGGGUGGCUG